This is a non-coding RNA of Schistosoma haematobium, 45 nucleotides long. NCBI's taxonomy places the organism in Eukaryota, Metazoa, Platyhelminthes, Trematoda, Strigeidida, Schistosomatidae. The record is from Rfam.
AUCUAGCUAAGGAGUUUUAAAUAAGAUGAAACGCGCGUCCUGGAU